GCCGGAAUAGCUCAGUUGGUAGAGCAGCGCAUUCGUAACGCGAAGGUCGUAGGUUCGAUUCCUAUUUCCGGCACCA
Molecule: transfer RNA, 76 nt
Filed under: Halothiobacillus sp.
Lineage: Bacteria; Pseudomonadati; Pseudomonadota; Gammaproteobacteria; Chromatiales; Halothiobacillaceae
Description: tRNA-Thr
Rfam family: tRNA
About the family: Transfer RNA (tRNA) molecules are approximately 80 nucleotides in length. Their secondary structure includes four short double-helical elements and three loops (D, anti-codon, and T loops). Further hydrogen bonds mediate the characteristic L-shaped molecular structure. tRNAs have two regions of fundamental functional importance: the anti-codon, which is responsible for specific mRNA codon recognition, and the 3' end, to which the tRNAs corresponding amino acid is attached (by aminoacyl-tRNA synthetases). tRNAs cope with the degeneracy of the genetic code in two manners: having more than one tRNA (with a specific anti-codon) for a particular amino acid; and 'wobble' base-pairing, i.e. permitting non-standard base-pairing at the 3rd anti-codon position.
Source: RNAcentral